GGAUCCAGACUUUGAUUCUGGCUCAGGAUGAACGCUAGCUACAGGCUUAACACAUGCAAGUCGAGGGGAAACGACAUCGAAAGCUUGCUUUUGAUGGGCGUCGACCGGCGCACGGGUGAGUAACGCGUAUCCAACCUGCCCACCACUUGGGGAUAACCUUGCGAAAGUAAGACUAAUACCCAAUGAUAUCUCUAGAAGACAUCUGAAAGAGAUUAAAGAUUUAUCGGUGAUGGAUGGGGAUGCGUCUGAUUAGCUUGUUGGCGGGGUAACGGCCCACCAAGGCGACGAUCAGUAGGGGUUCUGAGAGGAAGGUCCCCCACAUUGGAACUGAGACACGGUCCAAACUCCUACGGGAGGCAGCAGUGAGGAAUAUUGGUCAAUGGGCGAGAGCCUGAACCAGCCAAGUAGCGUGCAGGAUGACGGCCCUAUGGGUUGUAAACUGCUUUUAUAAGGGAAUAAAGUGAGUCUCGUGAGACUUUUUGCAUGUACCUAAUGAAUAAGGACCGGCUAAUUCCGUGCCAGCAGCCGCGGUAAUACGGAAGGUCCGGGCGUUAUCCGGAUUUAUUGGGUUUAAAGGGAGCGUAGGCCGGAGAUUAAGCGUGUUGUGAAAUGUAGAUGCUCAACAUCUGAACUGCAGCGCGAACUGGUUUCCUUGAGUACGCACAAAGCGGGCGGAAUUCGUGGUGUAGUGGUGAAAUGCUUAGAUAUCACGAAGAACUCCGAUUGCGAAGGCAGCUCACUGGAGCGCAACUGACGCUGAAGCUCGAAAGUGCGGGUAUCGAACAGGAUUAGAUACCCUGGUAGUCCGCACGGUAAACGAUGGAUGCCCGCUGUUGGUCUGAACAGGUCAGCGGCCAAGCGAAAGCAUUAAGCAUCCCACCUGGGGAGUACGCCGGCAACGGUGCAACUCAAAGGAAUUGACGG
RNAcentral lists this ribosomal RNA (924 nucleotides) under uncultured Bacteroidota bacterium. Its description in RNAcentral is "bacterial SSU rRNA". It matches the Rfam family "Bacterial small subunit ribosomal RNA", at positions 1 to 916 of the family's 1533-position model. Lineage: Bacteria; Pseudomonadati; Bacteroidota. The record is from RNAcentral.